UACGGGGGGAACAAGCGUUGUUCGGAAUCACUGGGCGUAAAGGGCGCGUAGGCGGCUUUGUAAGUCGGGGGUGAAAGCCUGUGGCUCAACCACAGAAUUGCCUUCGAUACUGCAUGGCUUGAGACCGGAAGAGGUUGGUGGAACUGCGAGUGUAGAGGUGAAAUUCGUAGAUAUUCGCAAGAACACCAGUGGCGAAGGCGGCUGACUGGUCCGGUUCUGACGCUGAGGCGCGAAAGCGUGGGGAGCAAACAGG
This 253-nucleotide ribosomal RNA is filed under the name uncultured bacterium. RNAcentral describes it as "partial 16S ribosomal RNA". It matches the Rfam family "Bacterial small subunit ribosomal RNA", at positions 524 to 776 of the family's 1533-position model. The record is from RNAcentral.